GAAGAAAAAGAAGAAGAAGCCAGACCAGGAAAGUGAAAGGAAAUGGAUAUCGCUGCUGGAGGCAACGACUAAUUUAAGCAGAGUAGGAGAAAAACUCUUUUUUUUUUUCCUUUGUGCCAGUUCCUUUUACACGACUUCAGAACAUUCUAUGACAACCCAGCGUGCAACUUGGCACUGUCAGAAGAGUCCUGGGAAAGAAAGGAAAUGCGUUUUUCAGAACUUUACUAGGGGUAGUUGAUCCAAAUGGCAUUAUUGGAUGUGGUGGUUUCCGGACACCCACCUGUGACACUGCGGUGACCGGUCUCCUGUCUGGCCUGAAGUGGAUCUGGACCCCACACAGUCCCCAUGUACAGCUGAUACCAGGCUGAAGUGGAUCAGGAGGCUGAGGAACUAAGCCAGUGUCAGGUGGUGCACCAGGCUGCCCAAGUAAGAGGCCCUACACAUGCAGGUGGAGGCUUAGAUGAACACAGGAUGAUUAUGGAGCAAUACUUGAAGCCCAAAUGAAGCUCUGAACCCGGAGACUUCUCAAAACCUGUCAUCAAUGCUCUAACUCUUCUGUGGCCACCUCCUUCUACUGGAGUUUAGCCAGAAAAUGAGAAAACCAAUAUUGGACUGUACUGGACAGGACAUAUGUACUAUAUCAGAUUCUCCCUGGCCACAUGCAUAGAGUCUCUGUCUUUUCCCACCACUUUAAAGACAUUGAUAAAAUGCCAUACCACAGGGCAUGAGAUCUGGCAUCCCAAGUUGCCACCAGCAAACCUAGAAGUGUGGGUUCCAACUCUAUGGGUAUAUCUCAGUCAUUUAGCAUCUGCUCUAUCUUUGAGGCUGAGUUUCCAGAAGACCUGAUUCAACCAGAAGCAAAAGACAGUAGCCAAGAAGAUGGCAUAGCAUAAGAAUCUUGGAAAUUGAUAAAAACAUCCCAGAGAUAUCCAACAAAAUUAGUAACUAUGUGAAGAGAUUCUGUAAUAUUGGGUCUAUUGGGCUCUGUGGGAAGGUAUUCCCUUUGGAAAUGACUGAAAUGGAAAUUUUGAACCACUUUCAAUGAUACAAGUUUGGGGUUAACAUGGAGAUGGUGCUUCACAGAAGACACCACAUUUCAAUAAUUGUAUUCUUAUCGAAUUGUUUAAAAUUGGUCAGUGACUAAUAUUAAGCCUCUAAGAACAAAAUUCAUUAGGUUUAUUUAGCCUGUUUUUGCAUUACUGCUACAAAAUCCAAUAGUUUAAAUAGCUAACUGAAUACUUUUGAUGUUAAAGAGCAAAAUUUCAUGAAGAUUUUAGAUCAAGAGAGCUACCACUGAGAAAAAACAAUGCAGAUUUGUGGUAAAGUCCCAUGAAUUUGUUGAACUGCCAAGGCUUCUGAUCAUCACUGCUGAAGAACUUCUAAUGGUGACUUCCAUCUCAGCUUUCUCAUUGCCAACUAUUAAGAAUGUAUGGAUUAUCCAGAUGUUGCAACACAGUUGUGUUUUUGGCUUCACCACUCCCUCUGGGCUGUGAUUCUGUUUUUUUUUUCUUUUAUUGUUGAUGUUCUUUGUUUUUAAUAUGAGAAAGAUUUGUGUAUUAUACUUCAGUUUUAGUUUCCUUAAUCACAGACUAGACAAAAGAAAAUUGGCUUGGUUUCCUAUUAGGAAACCACUUAGAAGCCAUUAUCAGAAUCGUAGACCAUCACUGUGAACUAUAUCCAGGUGUUGUCAUGAAAGUAUGACAUCCUAGAGUGGAAAAGCAACCUGGGUUUCCGAGACUGUUUUACUCUUUUAUCUGGAAUGUUGUUUUAGCUGCUAUGGCUCCAACAGGGUGAACAUAGCAUUUUAUUUAAUCUAAAUAUCUUUCUGCUUUUUUUUUCUAAGUUGCAAAAAGUCAAUGACCACAUUUCAUCUCUAGCCUCUCGUGAGGUUUAAAUUACACAAGGAAGAAAUAUUUACAAUGUCAAAUGCUGAAGAUUGUUUGGAGUCAGAAGUGAUUGUUCAGAAUCUGUCUUAAUGACAAGUCAGAAAUUAGACAAAGAGAUGAAAUGCUAAGCCCCCAAUGUGUUCUGAAAAGUUAAAUAACCAUCUUACAUCAGUUGGUACGUUUUUGUAAGAGUCCAGGAUGUAAAAGUGAUAAAUAAAUUAAUGAAAAGCACUUUUAAAAAUCAACAAAAGACAUGGCAGGAAAUGGAAGAAAAGAGAAGCAAGGGAUGCAUUCUAAUAGAUAUUAAGAACAAGCCAAAGUGCAGUAUUUGCUCUAGGGUUUUACUGUUCAUUGUGUCAAGACUCACAGAUUUUAGAUAUUUUUUUUAAUUGGGAAAGUAAAUGAGGCAGGUAGAUAAGUAGAAAAAGUUGUGUGAAACUCAUCAGUACUGAAAAUAAAUAGUUGUACUUCUCUGU
This 2362-nucleotide long non-coding RNA is filed under the name Homo sapiens (human). RNAcentral's name for it is "HSALNT0318441". The record is from RNAcentral. Lineage: Eukaryota; Metazoa; Chordata; Mammalia; Primates; Hominidae.